GAUCCUGGCUCAGAUUGAACGCUGGCGGAAUGCUUUACACAUGCAAGUCGAACGGCAGCACGGGGCAACCUGGUGGCGAGUGGCGAACGGGUGAGUAAUACAUCGGAACGUGCCCAGUCGUGGGGGAUAACGUAGCGAAAGCUACGCUAAUACCGCAUACGAUCUACGGAUGAAAGCGGGGGACUCGCAAGAGCCUCGCGCGAUUGGAGCGGCCGAUGGCAGAUUAGGUAGUUGGUGGGGUAAAGGCUCACCAAGCCUGCGAUCUGUAGCUGGUCUGAGAGGACGACCAGCCACACUGGAACUGAGACACGGUCCAGACUCCUACGGGAGGCAGCAGUGGGGAAUUUUGGACAAUGGGCGCAAGCCUGAUCCAGCCAUUCCGCGUGCAGGAUGAAGGCCUUCGGGUUGUAAACUGCUUUGUACGGAACGAAAAGGUUUUCUCUAAUACAGAGGGCUCAUGACGGUACCGUAAGAAUAAGCACCGGCUAACUACGUG
Molecule: ribosomal RNA, 496 nt
Filed under: uncultured bacterium
Lineage: Bacteria
Description: bacterial SSU rRNA
Rfam family: Bacterial small subunit ribosomal RNA
Source: RNAcentral